This is a long non-coding RNA of Exaiptasia diaphana, 406 nucleotides long. RefSeq lists it as uncharacterized. The record is from RefSeq and is a predicted model, not a curated record. The transcript has 3 exons. NCBI's taxonomy places the organism in Eukaryota, Metazoa, Cnidaria, Anthozoa, Actiniaria, Aiptasiidae.
UGAAAAUGAAGAUGAAACUGAUAAUUCCAGUGUUGCAAGUGAUGAUGAUAUUUCAAGUGUGGAAGAUGAAGAACAAGAACAAGAAUGUGUACAAGAAGGCAUUUCUUUUGGACCUGGACGUCAAUUUUCACAGUAUGAAGAUCGCUAUAAAGUCCAAAAAGAAUUGGCAUUAGUGGAAGAAUUAAAGGUGUUAUCCUCGGUGUCAAAACUGGUAGAACUUUUCAAGAUCUGCAGAGAACCUGGUUGCCUUGAAGGUACCACAGUAAAGACCAAAGUAUGUGGGGCUACGGUCGAAAUUUCAUGGUGUUGGGAAAAAAAUCACAAUGGAAAGUGGGCAUCYUCAGAAAAAUAUAGUGGAGUUUAUGCGAAUAACAUUCAGUUUUGUUCCGCAAUCCUGUUGUCUGGU